CGCGUAGGUGGUUUGUUAAGUUGGAAGUGAAAGCCCCGGGCUCAACCUGGGAACUGCUUUCAAAACUGGCAAGCUAGAGUAUGGCAGAGGGUGGUGGAAUUUCCUGUGUAGCGGUGAAAUGCGUAGAUAUAGGAAGGAACACCAGUGGCGAAGGCGACCACCUGGGCUAAUACUGACACUGAGGUGCGAAAGCGUGGGGAGCAAACA
Molecule: ribosomal RNA, 207 nt
Filed under: uncultured Pseudomonas sp.
Lineage: Bacteria; Pseudomonadati; Pseudomonadota; Gammaproteobacteria; Pseudomonadales; Pseudomonadaceae
Description: partial 16S ribosomal RNA
Rfam family: Bacterial small subunit ribosomal RNA
Source: RNAcentral